Lagopus leucura (white-tailed ptarmigan) is the source of this 516-nucleotide long non-coding RNA. RefSeq lists it as uncharacterized. Lineage: Eukaryota; Metazoa; Chordata; Aves; Galliformes; Phasianidae. The transcript has 4 exons. The record is from RefSeq and is a predicted model, not a curated record.
CCUUGCUGCCAAGUGGAGAAAGUGCAGCGAUUGGCCACACGUCCCCUCUCGCGCACCGUGUGGAAGCCCUCUGGCAGAGCCCCCAGCCCUGACCAGAGGCCCCAGUAUGUCACUGGGCUGCCGGCCAUUGGGGCAAGAGAGAAGGGAUGCGGUCUGAGAUGAUGACGCCCCUCUGUACGAUGGUUGAUUCCCUCACUGGCAGCCCCUCAGUCCUGCACUGAUCCAUACGCUGCAGCUCUGAGGAAGAAUCAGAAAAGCACCAUACUGAGCAGCACUGAGUUCCAGGGUCAGAGGUAUUCUACACAGAGCUGCUGUUUUCCACAUGAAACCUGGAUAUGAUAUUGUGUUCAGGAUCACACACUGCAAAUUUCCUACAAAGAGCUCUGGGAUGGAGGAAAUCCUAGUCAUGCCUUGCCUCAAUCCGUACAGAUGCACUAAGGUUAACUUCAAUUACUGCUGUAUUAUGUUGAAUAAUGAAGUCUUUGUAACAUCAUUAUAUAUGCAUGCAUUAUACCU